This 630-nucleotide ribosomal RNA is filed under the name uncultured bacterium. RNAcentral describes it as "bacterial SSU rRNA". It matches the Rfam family "Bacterial small subunit ribosomal RNA", at positions 9 to 634 of the family's 1533-position model. The record is from RNAcentral.
GAGUUUGAUCCUGGCUCAGAUUGAACGCUGGCGGAAUGCUUUACACAUGCAAGUCGAGCGGCAGCGCGGCCUUCGGGCUGGCGGCGAGCGGCGAACGGGUGAGUAAUGCAUCGGAACAUGCCCAGUCGUGGGGGAUAACACUUCGAAAGAAGUGCUAAUACCGCAUACGUCCUGAGGGGGAAAGCGGGGGAUCGCAAGACCUCGCGCGAUUGGAGUGGCCGAUGUCAGAUUAGCUAGUUGGUGGGGUAAAGGCCUACCAAGGCGACGAUCUGUAGCUGGUCUGAGAGGAUGAUCAGCCACACUGGGACUGAGACACGGCCCAGACUCCUACGGGAGGCAGCAGUGGGGAAUUUUGGACAAUGGGGGCAACCCUGAUCCAGCCAUUCCGCGUGAGUGAAGAAGGCCUUCGGGUUGUAAAGCUCUUUCGGCAGGAACGAAACGGUGGGCUCUAACAUAGUCCGCUAAUGACGGUACCUGAAGAAGAAGCACCGGCUAACUACGUGCCAGCAGCCGCGGUAAUACGUAGGGUGCGAGCGUUAAUCGGAAUUACUGGGCGUAAAGCGUGCGCAGGCGGUUGUGUAAGACAGGUGUGAAAUCCCCGGGCUUAACCUGGGAACUGCGCUUGUGACU